Long non-coding RNA from Manis pentadactyla (Chinese pangolin), 1117 nucleotides. RefSeq lists it as uncharacterized. Lineage: Eukaryota; Metazoa; Chordata; Mammalia; Pholidota; Manidae. The transcript has 3 exons. The record is from RefSeq and is a predicted model, not a curated record.
GCGGGGGCGGCGAAUCUUGCCUCCGGACCCCGCCGAGGCCGCGGAGCCGCAGGCGCGCCUCCGCGUCGCUGCCUCCAGGGAACCCCCAGGAGAGACCCGCGCGCUCCCGGCCUGUAGGAAGUCGCGGCCGGCGUGGAUGGCAGUUUUCCUGAGAGGUGUGUGCCUAGGAAAACACUCUUCUCUCUGGGGAGGAGAAGGAAGCGACGCCCCAGCCAAGGGCCGCCCUCGUCCGAGGUUCCGGGAGAGCCAAAGGCGGCCUUCAGAUCUGAGCAGCGGCGGGGCCACGGUGUGCCGGCCGCAUCCCAUCUGGCCAGGCGUGCAGCCGGUGACGGGGCUCCCGUCUCCAGCCCUCCCGGCCCUGGGCCGAAACCCUGCUGGGGAACUGCCAGGCGCGGGCGGCCGGCGGGGGCCGAGAGGCAGGCUUCCCGGUUGCUGGAAGUCAUCUUAAUUCUACAGAAGGGUCUACUCGGGACUCCUGCUCCCGGCGCAGGUCGCGGCGGGACCCUCGGAAGGGGGUUGUUUCAGACAGAGUUCACGCCAGCACAGUAAGGAUGGCAUGCUUGGUUGAAAAAUGGUCCCCCAAAGAUAUGUCUACAGCCCAUCCUUGGAACCCAUGACCAUGACCUUGUUUGCAAAAAGGACUUUGCAGCUGUGAUUAAGGAUCUUGAAUGAGGAGAUCACCCUGGAUUACCCAGGAGGGACCUUGAUGCCAUCCCACGUCCUUAUAAGAGAGAGGCAGAGGGAGAAUAGGCAGAUGCACUAAGAAGGUGAUGUGAAGAUGGAGGUGGAAACUGGAGUGAUGUGGCCACCAGCCCAGGAACGCCAAGAGCUGCCAGUAGCUACCAGAAGCUGCAAAAGGAAAGGAAAGACCCUUUCCCAGAACCUGGGGAGGGACACAGCCCUGCCGACUCCGUGAUCUCAGACUUCUGGCCUCCAGGACUGUGAGAGAAAACAUUUUGGUUGUUUUAAACCAUUCAGUUUGUUGUCGUAUGUUACAGCAGCUCUAGGAAACAGAGAUGACUAUGCCUCUAAUAUCACUCCAGGAAAGUGAUGAGAUUGUACUUGAUGUUACAGUGCCCAGCUCGUCCCUGCUCUGCAGAGGGGUGCCUUUUGCAGG